GGGGGGACGAGGGUGGACAGGUGGUGGCAUGGUUGUCGUCAGCUCGUGUCGUGAGAUGUUGGUUAAGUCCCGCAACGAGCGCAACCCUCGACCUUAGUUGCCAGCAUUCAGUUGGGCACUCUAAGGUGACUGCCGGCUAAAAGUCGGAGGAAGGUGGGGAUGACGUCAAAUCAUCAUGCCCCUUAUGACCUGGGCUACACACGUGCUACAAUGGGCGGUACAAAGGGUCGCGAACCCGCGAGGGGGAGCCAAUCCCAAAAAGCCGCUCUCAGUUCGGAUUGCAGGCUGCAACUCGCCUGCAUGAAGCCGGAAUCGCUAGUAAUCGCGGAUCAGCAUGCCGCGGUGAAUACGUUCCCGGGCCUU
Molecule: ribosomal RNA, 363 nt
Filed under: uncultured Anoxybacillus sp.
Lineage: Bacteria; Bacillati; Bacillota; Bacilli; Caryophanales; Anoxybacillaceae
Description: bacterial SSU rRNA
Rfam family: Bacterial small subunit ribosomal RNA
Source: RNAcentral